GGGGGGGGGGGGGGGGGGGGGGGGGGGGGGGGGGGGGGGGGGGGGGGCGCGGCGGGUGGGGGGGGCGCGAGGGGGGAACGGGUGGGGGACAGGUGGGUAACCUGCCCUUGACUUUGGGAUGACUUCAGGAAACGGGGGCUAAUGCCGGAUAGGAGCUCCUGGUGCAUGGGGGGGGUGGGAAAGUUUCGGCGGUUGGGGAUGGGCUCGCGGCUUGUCAGCUUGUUGGUGGGGUAGUGGCUUACCAAGGCUUUGACGGGUCGCCGGCCUGAGGGGGUGACCUGCCACAUUGGGACUGAGAUACGGCCCAGACUCCUACGGGAGGCAGCAGUGGGGAAUAUUGCACAAUGGGCGGAAGCCUGAUGCAGCAACGCCGCGUGCGGGAUGACGGCCUUCGGGUUGUAAACCGCUUUCGCCUGUGACGAAGCGUGAGUGACGGUAAUGGGUAAAGAAGCACCGGCUAACUACGUG
Molecule: ribosomal RNA, 468 nt
Filed under: uncultured bacterium
Lineage: Bacteria
Description: partial 16S ribosomal RNA
Rfam family: Bacterial small subunit ribosomal RNA (bases 49-468)
Source: RNAcentral